Molecule: unclassified non-coding RNA, 239 nt
Filed under: uncultured Ascomycota
Lineage: Eukaryota; Fungi; Ascomycota
Description: sequence contains ITS2
Rfam family: 5.8S ribosomal RNA (bases 1-52)
Source: RNAcentral
AACGCACAUUGCGCCCCUUGGUAUUCCGAGGGGCAUGCCUGUUCGAGCGUCAUUAUCACCCCUCAAGCUCUGCUUGGUGUUGGGGCCUGCUGUGAUAGGCAGCCCUUAAAAUCAGUGGCGGUGCCUCUCGGCUCUAAGCGUAGUAAUUCCUCUCGCUAUAGUGUCCAGUGGUUGCUAGCCAGAACCCCCCAUUUUUCAUGAUUGACCUCGGAUCAGGUAGGGAUACCCGCUGAACUUAA